Molecule: long non-coding RNA, 471 nt
Organism: Argentina anserina (silverweed cinquefoil)
Lineage: Eukaryota; Viridiplantae; Streptophyta; Magnoliopsida; Rosales; Rosaceae
Exons: 3
Source: RefSeq, a predicted model, not a curated record
CCGCCGCUUACGAUGGUUAGGUUUCCAAAUACGACGUCCUUAGGUAUUUUCGUGUCCCUCUUCAUAUUGGAGCUUAUGUUUCAUUUAAGCAUAAAUCCUAAUUCGAAUUCCUUGAUUUCUGGAUAUUUGUGAGGGACUUCAAGUUAAAUUCAAUGGGAGUUAUGUGAAUCGGGAGCCUUGGAAUCACGUUAUGAAGAGGAACUGUUGAGUUAUCAUCUACUGAAUGUGGAAUCAAGUUUUUUAUAUGAUUUGCAGAGACAAUGAUCCUGUGGCAAUGAAGCUACUUAACAAGGCUGGAGAGAUGCCCUCCCUGGAACCUCCGGAUGAUGAAAGCAUUAGGACCUUGUGGGGCUGCCCCAUGUUGGAGAAAUGCUUGUCUGGUUAUAGUUACUAGGAAGAUGGUGGAGAAGUUGUACAAGGCUCCAAAUGCUUAAUUGAGAUGCAAGAAAUCUUAAGUCUAAGAUUAACGAU